This 205-nucleotide long non-coding RNA is filed under the name Arabidopsis lyrata. RNAcentral's name for it is "long non-coding RNA (ALYR_LNC002682)". The record is from RNAcentral. Lineage: Eukaryota; Viridiplantae; Streptophyta; Magnoliopsida; Brassicales; Brassicaceae.
AAGUGGGGCAUGUGCCCCACAAUAAAUUUAUAUUUUUGUGUUAAAGAUUGGAUAAAAUGAUCAGGCAUUUUUGGUUGUGUCAUAUCAAUGUUUCCUUCACAACUCAAGUUCGAUCAUUUCUUCCGCUGUAUAUGAUGUUUUUACUUUUCAUUUUCCAAAUAGUUUAUUAAAUUAGUUAUUUAAAUGUCAAAUCUAAAUUUAUUUU